UUCUUUCUUCUUUUUUCCCCUCUUCUCCUCUAUUUUCGCAGCAGCCCAGCCCUCAUCUCUUUCUCUUUCUUUCCUUUUCUUUUUCUCUCUUCUCUUCCCCUUCUAUCGGUCACAGCAGCAGCCCCUCCCCUAUUCCAACACCUGAUUCCCUCUCCCUUUUUCCUUCUCUUCCAUUUUCUUCCUCUCCUCGUCUCACUGCCAUGCACGCACACGCACACCAGCCCAUGAGAGAUUGAGAGAGUGAGACGCAGAGAUGGAGAGACCCGUGAGCAAAACCCGUUGAACAGUGCACGAAGCCGACAAACAGCGGUUUCAGUGGUGAUUCCGGCGAAGCAAAGCUGAAACCCGACUGCUUGAAGGUUGAUUUCCGGCGGAACCCGACGAACCCAGGAGCCCCGAUCGGGAAGACCCGUGACCCGAGACCCAUUAAACCCGACCAUCUAUGAGCGGUUUCCGGCGAGUUUUCCGGCGACCCAGUGAGGGAUUUCCGACGAUUUCUAAUGGAUUUUCUAUGGAAUUUCUAGGGAUCGUGUCAUAGUUGGAGACUUCAACGGGUUCUCCAAUGUAGAGUUCGAGUCGUGAGUCCAAUGCAGCCAAGGUACUUCGGUAUAGUCGAUGGGUCGGUAGCAGUGUGCUUGGGAUAUUAUGACUGAAGCUCGUCGCGACAGUUGUAAUUGUCGGACCACGGGUUGUCCACUAUUUUAUAGGUUUGGUAUGGCUUGUGACGUUUGUGUCACUUAUUAAUUGUUAAGCCAUUAUUGUUAUAGUGUUAAUAAGACUCAAACAGAUAGAUGUUAAAUGGCUCUUUGUUGUAAUUAACUUGUGAUAGAUGUAUAAGUUGUAAUUUCCGCUAUUCAGAUUUAUGUUUUCCGCUGCAUAGAUAGAUGUAUGUUAUACUCUGAUUAUCAGGUACAUGUUAUGGGGCAUGUGCCAUAUGUUGGCUGAGCGACA
This is a long non-coding RNA of Alnus glutinosa, 951 nucleotides long. RefSeq lists it as uncharacterized. The record is from RefSeq and is a predicted model, not a curated record. Lineage: Eukaryota; Viridiplantae; Streptophyta; Magnoliopsida; Fagales; Betulaceae. The transcript has 3 exons.